UACGGAGGGGGUAAGCGUUGUUCGGAAUUACUGGGCGUAAAGGGCGCGUAGGCGGCCAUGCGUGUCUUUCGUGAAAUCCCUCGGCUUAACUGAGGACGUGCGGAAGAAACUGCAAGGCUUGAGUCCGGGAGAGGGGGGUGGAAUUCCCAGUGUAGCGGUGAAAUGCGUAGAUAUUGGGAGGAACACCGGUGGCGAAGGCGGCCCCCUGGACCGGUACUGACGCUGAGGCGCGAAAGCGUGGGUAGCAAACGGG
RNAcentral lists this ribosomal RNA (253 nucleotides) under uncultured bacterium. Its description in RNAcentral is "partial 16S ribosomal RNA". It matches the Rfam family "Bacterial small subunit ribosomal RNA", at positions 524 to 776 of the family's 1533-position model. The record is from RNAcentral.